UACGUAGGGUGCGAGCGUUAAUCGGAAUUACUGGGCGUAAAGCGUGCGCAGGCGGAUGUUUAAGUCAGAUGUGAAAUCCCCGGGCUCAACCUGGGAACGGCAUUUGAAACUGGGCAUCUAGAGUGCGUCAGAGGGGGGUGGAAUUCCACGUGUAGCAGUGAAAUGCGUAGAGAUGUGGAGGAACACCGAUGGCGAAGGCAGCCCCCUGGGAUGACACUGACGCUCAUGCACGAAAGCGUGGGGAGCAAACAGGAUUAGAUACCCUGGUAGUCCACGCCCUAAACGAUGUCAACUAGUUGUUGGGGACGUAAGGUCUUAGUGACGAAGCUAACGCGUGAAGUUGACCGCCUGGGGAGUACGGCCGCAAGGUUG
This 372-nucleotide ribosomal RNA is filed under the name uncultured prokaryote. RNAcentral describes it as "bacterial SSU rRNA". It matches the Rfam family "Bacterial small subunit ribosomal RNA", at positions 524 to 896 of the family's 1533-position model. The record is from RNAcentral.